CAGUGAAUAGUUUAUUUAAAAUAUUAAUUUUGGGGAUUAAUGAUGUGUGUUUUUGCUCUUUACUGA
RNAcentral lists this transfer RNA (66 nucleotides) under Ectomocoris horridus. Its description in RNAcentral is "tRNA-Pro". The record is from RNAcentral. Lineage: Eukaryota; Metazoa; Arthropoda; Insecta; Hemiptera; Reduviidae.